This 239-nucleotide unclassified non-coding RNA is filed under the name Hevea brasiliensis (rubber tree). The record is from RNAcentral. Lineage: Eukaryota; Viridiplantae; Streptophyta; Magnoliopsida; Malpighiales; Euphorbiaceae.
UCACUGUGCAGUGCGUGGUUACUGCUCAGCCUGAGUUCGUUAGCCGGCAAAUGGUGAAGUUCGUAGCCGGGUUGAGCCGCGAGUCCAUUAUCGAUGUUCAAGGCCUCGUUUCUGUACCUUCUGUUCCCAUCAAAGGCACCACACAGCAGGUUGAAGUUCAAGUCAGGAAGCUCCAUUGUAUCAGCAAAGCCAUGCCAACUUUACCCAUUAACAUCGAGGAUGCAGCUAGAAGUGAGAAA